This 301-nucleotide ribosomal RNA is filed under the name uncultured bacterium. RNAcentral describes it as "partial 16S ribosomal RNA". It matches the Rfam family "Bacterial small subunit ribosomal RNA", at positions 509 to 807 of the family's 1533-position model. The record is from RNAcentral.
CAGUCGCCACGGUAAUACGGAGGGUGCAAGCGUUAAUCGGAAUUACUGGGCGUAAAGCGCACGCAGGCGGUCUGACAAGUCAGAUGUGAAAUCCCCGGGCUUAACCUGGGAACUGCAUUUGAAACUGUCAGGCUGGAGUCUUGUAGAGGGGGGUGGAAUUCCAGGUGUAGCGGUGAAAUGCGUAGAGAUCUGGAGGAAUACCGGUGGCGAAGGCGGCCCCCUGGACAAAGACUGACGCUCAGGUGCGAAAGCGUGGGGAGCAAACAGGAUUAGAGACCCGUGUAGUCCCUGUCUCUUAUAC